Molecule: long non-coding RNA, 7327 nt
Filed under: Physcomitrium patens
Lineage: Eukaryota; Viridiplantae; Streptophyta; Bryopsida; Funariales; Funariaceae
Description: long non-coding RNA (PPAT_LNC014021)
Source: RNAcentral
GAUCCAUAAACAACUUCAUAAAUCAAACAUUAAUUCAUUAAAUUGAUUCUCUUUACUAGAAUCAAUACUAACACAAAAGAAACAAAAAAACUAAGAAGAAGAGAUAGCACCAAGCUUAUCCCCGGCUCAGUACUAUUGUAGCGAUGGUCUUCGGCUUACAACUCUCACAGUCUGGCCCUCAGCUUACAACUCUCACAGUCUGGUAUUUUCUUCCCCUCUCCCAUCCUCCUUAUACUACCUUGAAAUACCAAUUCCUAUACUACAGAUGAUAUCUACUUUUCCUGACUAUUCAUCCAUUCUACUUGCUGAACCACCUUUUCAGCAGUUAUCUAUCCCUGUUUAUACUACACACUAGGUAUCUACAUUCUUAAAAUAACUACUUAUUCUACAUAACUCCACUCCUAACUAUGCAGCCUCCUCGCAAACACUCAAUUGAUACCUAUCUAAAAAUUAUCUAAGAAAACUCUACAAAAAUUGCGAUCCCUCUAGCCUAUCUAUUUAAUCAAAUGCCACAGUAUCUGUUAUUAGUUCCACCAAUUCCGGUUCCAAUUGCAAAUCUUCGUCCUCCUCCAAUCCUUCCAUUGGCUCCUGCUUCAACUGAGCUAAAAGGUCUUCAUUGUACUUGCCCAGUUCAUGGACUUGAGCUUCCAAUUUCAGGAUCUGGGCAUCUCUCAAUUCCAACUGGCGCUAAAAGUGACUCCUUUCUUCUGGAAUUUUGAAAACUAGCAAUGUCGAUACUUGUGCUUGACCAAUAUUGACUAAAUCCUUUGCCAAUCUUGUCACCUCGAUGUUCAAGGCUUCAAUUUCAGCCCUUAACUGCUCCGUUUCACAUCUGUAUUGGUCACUCAAUACCAAUUUUUCUUGUGUCAAUAAUUCGGUCUUAUCUCGUUCCAUUACCAACUGAUCCUUCGCUUUUUCUAAUUCCAAAAUUGAAUGACUACGAGCCCGGAAUAGUUCUUGCCUAUGGAUCUCUACUAUACGCUCUCUUUCUUGUGACUGGCUCUUCACUAUUAACUCUUAACUGGAACUACUACUCUCAAAAAUACAAGAAAUACAAGAAAAUUGCACUCCAACCAACCCAAAACAACACCACAGAAUGACUUCAACUGGUGCCCCAUUCUUAUUCUUUUACUUAGUGGUGAUAAUGACAACAUGUUAUCCCUACUGUCCGUAAAAGGUAAUGAGAAGUAAUCUUUCUUAGUGGCCGCAUUUAACUUUCAAAAAACUUGACAUAUACUGAUUUUUCCAUUCUUCUUUGAUACCAUCACGAUUGGAGAAACCCACUCACUAUUUGGUAUAGGAUAAAUAAAACCAACUGGAAGAAGCUUGUCCAAUUCCUCCUUCAUCAUGAGGGAAUAUUUAGGAUUAAGGCGAUGUUGUCUUUGACGAAUUGGCGUAAUACCCUCUUCCAAAAUAAUCUGGUGCUCACACACGUCGGCUGGAAUCCCUUUCAAAUCCACAUAUGACCAUGCAAAGGCAGAUUUGUAAUGGACAAAUAACUAUUUCUAAGCAUCCAAUUCUGUACUGAUAAUAUCGGCAUAUAUUUUAAUUAGGUGUGGCAUUUCGUUGGUGCCCAGGUUAAUAGAUUGACACACAGGGUCUUUAACAACCUUUGAUUUAAUUGUCUUCUCCUGAUCUGAAUUUCUUAUAUUAUCGAACAUAUGAGAACCACCCAAAUCUGGUUCCAAUGUGCUGACUCUAUUGACUGCGAAAUUGUUCAUCCAUUCGGCAAUAGCAUGAUCCGAGUUAGUCGCAUCCUCCUGAUGCAGUAAAUAUUUGCUGGGACUUCCACAUUGGUAGACUCCUGCCUUUCCUUUUGAAGUAUUUUGUCCUACCCCAAAUUGUGGUGAACCUAUAGUAUCGUCACCUAUCUCAAUCGAUUGACUCUUAUUGUCCGAUGUAAAUUUUGAUUCUAACAAUUGAGAUUCUCCAUGAUAUUGUAUCGGGUACAUCUGUAAAAUAAUCUGGUCCCGACCUUUUUUAAUUGUCAAUGUGCCUCGGCCCCAAUCGUUCUUAGCUUUUGCUUGAUAAAGCCAAGGUCUACCCAAUAAAAUGGGAUAUGAUAACAUAGAACUCUGUAAUUGGAAUACAUUAUAAUCAAUUUUGUAUAUCAAUCCCACGAUUACAAAGGCAAUAUUGCAUAAGAUUUCCAUUGGCUUUACCCGACUAUGAUCUGCCAUUCGCAAGACCAAUGUCAUAGGUAGCAAUUGCUUUAGAUCCAAGUCCUCCAUUGUAUCCGUAUUCAUUAAAUUCACACUGGAGCCACCAUCGACUUGAACACCCAAGAUCAUAAUACUGUCAAUCAAAACAUCGAUGGUUGGUGCACCUGAGUCAGGGUUCAAACUGACUUCACAAACUUCUUUAUUACGGUGCCUAUGUCGUAUUAACGAUGAAUUCAAUAUAGAACGGUACUCUGGUGCGACCGCUAGAAGUUGCUUCAUAGAAAUAGAAGGCCGAAUAGCGUCCAAAUCCUUCAAAAUAUCAUAGGGUUCCAUAUUUAGGGUAAUUUCCAAUGCCCUCUUUCUUUUCAUUGGUUUGAGUUUAACUCCGUUGUCGUGUUGUAACACGAGUAUACUGUGAAAAUAUAAAGAAAAGGGACUUUUAUUAAUAGUCAGUUACCUCGAAUAUUGGGAGCAACGACCAACUCCAGUGCAAAUAUUGAGUGGCCAGGUUCAGUCACCCCGUUACAGUCAGCCAGGGCAUACUGAAAUGCUGCGUUCAUUUCCAAUAACGGGAGUCAGCAGGAAGGGAAAGGACCAAUUCAUGCGACGGAAGAGCCUGGUUUGAAGAGCCAAUUGGAUCCAAUUUCGAGAAUCCAAUCCGGGUCCUCUUACCCAAUAUGAGACCUGAAUUGGUCGGGCAACCCAAUGUAGACUAAUUACGGGAACAUCCAGGUUACUACGGGCAUCUUACCUAAUAUGAGACCUGCAUUGGUCGGGCAACCCAAUGCAGUCUAAUUACGGGAACAUCCAGGUUACUACCGGCAUCUUACUCAAUAUGAGACCUGGAUUGGUGGGGCGACUCAAUGUAGAUCCGAGUACGGGGUUUCGAUUCUGUUUCAGGCUGUCCUAUUCUCUGUGCCGUUUCAGAGAAUGUUAUUUUCGGUAAAUGGAUCUCUUAAAGGUAAAAAUGGAGGAGGAAGCUCUGACGGUAGGAGCCAAUUUCGGAUCUAAGCUCUGACGAUGGGAGCCAAUUUCGGAUCCAAGACGGAAGAUUGAAGAAAUUUAGAGGAUAAGGUUAGGGAAAGAGAGGGGGGGGGGGUUUUUUGGAUCGAAGAGCUAGCUUCAAGCUUUUUGCAAGGUUACUAGUUCGGUUUUCAUUGGAGGUUUUUUGAAGGUCAAGGGGAUUGGAGAGGAGCUUCAUGCUUCGGGUCGGGGAAGAAAAGACGGAGAAUUGGAUUUUUCUUCUUCAUAGAGUUUUGAAAAGACUGAGGCAAUCGUUGCUGAAGUCUGUGUUGUAAUGGUGAAUCGGGAUUUUUUAAUGAAGUGGAUUUGAUUACUCUUGACUGUUUUGUGAAAUCGAGUUACGUCUGUGAUUGAAGGAUUAAAAGGGUGUCUAUAGGAUUGAGUAUGUGGAGUGAAUGAAAUUUGUUGGGUUAAUCUAACGAGACAGUCAGUGGAUACAAGAUCGUGAGUACAAAGUGGUAUCGAAGAUUAACAGUUUGGGUUGUUUGGGGUUCUCUGUAACGUUUAGAGACCUACCGGCCGGGACAAAAAGGACUUCAGUGAGCAGUCGAAGGGACAUCCGUAUAGAUUUACGGUGUAUUCUUGCAGUCGUUUAUAUUCUAACAGUCAAAAACUGAUAGAUUGCUUGACUACUGGCGAAUCUCCAUACUACCUUCUACAAUUAGACGCCCGACGCGUUCUCGAGUAGGAAAGCACGUAAUACGACACCAUGAUGUAAGAUAUUCUUCUACUUUGGACUCGAAAUUAGAAUAGUAGCUGGGGCUUCCUUGAAAUUCCCACCCCCAAGAGGAUCUUUCAAUGGAUAGGACGUUUCUUGGAACUGCGUAGAGAUCGAAACUACUUGGAACAGAACUGAAGCCUCCAUAAUUGGGACCUCAUUGGGUUGUGCCACCGAUUCGGGUCUCAUACUGGGUACAAAGUCCAUAACAGGACCUGGAUUGGAUGGUCCCAGCAAAUUGGUCCGUGGAACCGAAUUGGGUUUCUCAAUCUGUUGAAGUGUCAAUAUUGGGAUACGUCUCAAUACUGAUAUUGGUUCGUUUAGUCUCAUGGACGGUGCUACUUGCUCUCUUGUGAUUGGUUCAUCCAUGUUCUGAAAUAGAUUCUUAUCUUUUUGUUGGCCUCUGGUAAGUAUUGCAUUUACCACCUCGAUACGAUGUAUUGGUGAGUCUUGUUGAACAGGGCCUUUGUCCUCCGUCGGUUGGCUUGUUUGCAUUUGCUGGUCUCGGUUAUUAUAAUUAAAGGGCGUAUUGCACUGCUGAUAAGUGUGACCAGACUGCUUACAAUUUCCACAUAUUGGAGCAUAGUCAUUACUAGCCCUUGGAUUAGGACAUUCACUCGCAUAAUGUCUGAUUUGUCUGCAGUGAUAGCAACAAAGUGGUCUCCUGCCAACUCCUUCAGGGAUAAUGGGUGUCUCUACUGGUAUAUAACGGCUAGGUCUGUUCCAUGUCGGAUGAGUAAAGGAUCCUGGUUGACCCAUUGUUACUGUAGAGUCUAGCAUUGGCUUCAUCAUGGGUAGAUAUUGAUGGUAUCCUGGUUGAUUCAUUGCCAAUCCGUGAGUAUUGGAUAUACCUUUUUAGUGAAAUUCAGAGUUGAUGAAAUUAGAAUAAUUCCUAUUUUGCUUAUUCGCUCGAUUUCUAUUCCAACCAAACUUAUUAUUCGUCUAUACUUGAUUGACAUCCCACGAAGUUGGUUAGGUCAUUAUCUGGUUACUGAGUUGUUGUUGCUUCUGUAAAUUCCAAUAGUUGGUGGUAAUAUACUUGCCCCUGCAAAAGGUACAUUGUAUAGUCAUUUGGGGUGGUGAAAGAUAUUCUGUUACUAAAUGACCUUGUCCCUUACAAUUACUGCAGUAGACAUUUGGAUGCAUAUUGCUUGAUUUAUGCCUUUUUUCUUUAUCUUUGGCCAGAUUCACAGCCAAUUCAUUCAUUUUUUUUGUCAAUGUUAACAACAAUGACUCAUUGGGAUCCCUUGUUACCAAUGUAUUUGACAAUUCCUUUGUAGGUAUUGAUUUUUGAUAUGCGGAAUAAGGCGCAUACGAAUGUGAUGAUGAUAGUGGUACAGCUUGCAAUGGAACGACAUCCACUAUUCCCUGUGGAAUUGUACCAUAAUAAUUCCUUCCCAGAUAACUUUCGGAUGCGUCAUUCCAAUUUUUCAUUUGAUAACCUCCUUGAGAUGAAAUCAUCGUGGCUCCAACUGUUAAGUUUUGGUCAUAGUGACGUUCCUUUCAUACUUUUGCUUGCUCAAGAGAUGAUGCAAUGGUGGCUGAUUGGACCUCUUUUACAAACAUUUUCAAUUUUAGUGGGUGUAGUCCAUUAACCAACAUGGACAACACAAAUGAUUACAACAUUUGGUUAUUUGGCCAUUUUCGAAGUAUAUCUGCUAUACGACCAUAAUAUGACUGUACCGCUUCCCGUGGUACCAUUCUGUUGUUCAUUAAUUUUUCUCUAAGACGUUCUUCAAAACCAAUUGGUCAAAAAUGGGCUAAAAAUGUAUUUUUCAAUGCCUCCCAAUUGAUGAAUUGUCCCAUAGGUUGACAGUUAUACCACUCAAAUGCUGUGUCUUUCAAUGUCGCUGGCAGCCAUCUCAGCCAAAUGGCUUCUGUUCUUCCAUUAUUGUCUACACAGGCCAUCAAGAAUUGAAACAAAUGUUGAUCUGGAUUCGCACCCAAAAUCUCCGAAAAGUAGGUAGUAGCGCGACACUAGUCAUACAAUCGCCUACUGCACCAAUUUGUACUGCAAUCGAAAUUACUGGUCCUCCUGACGCCAUUGAAUUUCUUGUUCCGCUAAACUCCAUUUUAAAAUAAUCUCUGCUUUUCUUUAUUCUAAUUUUCGAGCUCUCAAUACUCCUUGAUUUACUGUUAUUUUUUGCAAUUAGUUUUAUUGGUUGAAUUGUACGUGAAAACGUCGGAUUUUGAAAUACAAUAUAAUUAUCUUUAUUGGUGACCAAUUUGUGCCAAUCUAAAGAGCCACUAUUGCUCAUUUCAGCGGUACUUUUUACUGAAAAAAUACCCAAUAGAGUACCAAAUUCUUCUACGCCUCCUUUUCUUUCAGUUAACGGCCUCAAGAUUUCCACUGGAAUGUUAAAAAAAAAUUUCGUGAGUGUUCUUGGCAGUUUUUCUAAUGGUACAUACGACUGCAGAAUUAACAGUUUGUCCAGUUCUUGAUAUGUUCGGAUGCACCGACAAGCUUGCAACCAUGGUUUAAUCCAAUUCUGUCGAUGCUUCCUUUUAAGAUUGCAUUCUUGCUUCUAAGUAAGUUCUUUCCUUGCGCUCUUCUCUGUCUUUCUCUCAACUGAUUUAUUUUUCUCGAUGCAAUGCUCUCGUUCUUAUUAACCAUAAUCUUGCUUCAAACACUAUUGAAAUCGUCUUCCAUUGCCAAUUUUUUCACACGUUUGGUAAUUAAUUCCUAACACUCAAAGCUAUUAUCACUUUCCCACAGCAGUGCCAAAAUGUGAUUGCUUGUUUUACUUAUUCUGGAAGAAACCUCCAAGCAUAAAUCCAUAUAGGGAGAUUCGAACACGGGGAUUGACCAUGUAUAUGAGUUCCAAUUGUUAGGGUCACGCAAUUAAUUGCUACUGCUGAAUGCUUACCAUACCAAAGAAUACUUAAUUUUUUCUCCUACUGUCCAUUCUCUCAUAUCAAUACAAUAACAUCCACGACAACGAUUUCAGUACCUUGUGUAAUUCACGAAUACACAAGCAUAUUCCAAACCCUAGAAUGAAUAACUUCCAAUCCACAAAAUCUAAUCAAGAGAAUUCCUUCAAUUACAAUUCCUCUCCACUAAACUUACAACCUUGCGAUAAACAGUGAUUGGAAACUUCUAUACAUCCUCAAUCUUUCACAACAAUUGAUAAACAGUGAUCCAUAAACAACUUUGUAAAUCAAACAUUAAUUCAUUAAAUCAAUUCUCUUCACUAGAAUCAAUACUAAUACAAAAGAAACAAAAAAACUAAGAAGAAGAGAUAGCACCAAGCUUAUUUCCGACUUAGUACUAUCGCAGCGAUGGCCCUCGGCUUACAACUCUCACAGUCUGGCAUUUUCUUCCCCUCUCCCAUCCUCCUUAUACUACCCUGAAAUACCAACUCCUAUACUACAGAUGAUAACUACUUUUCCUAACUAUUCAUCCAUUCUACCUACUGAACCACCU